GACCUACACCACAGCUCAUGGCAAUGCUGGAUCCUUAACCCACUGAGCAAGGCCAGGGAUCAAAUGCACAACCUCAUGGUUCCUAGUUGGAUUUGUUAACCACUGCACCACAACGGGAACUCUGAAAAAUGCUGUAUUCAUUCACUAUAGCCAAGACGUGAAAACAACCCAAAUGUCCAUUGACAGAUGAUUGGAUUAGGAAGAUGUGGUAUAUAUACACAAUGGAAUACUACUCAGCCAUAAAAAAGAAUGACAUAAUGCCAUUUGCAGCAACAUGGAUGGAACUAGAGACUCUCAUACUAAGUGAAGUAAGUCAGAAAAAGAAAGACAAAUACCAUAUGAUAUCACAUAUCUGGAACUUAAUAUAUGGCGCAAAUGAAACUUUCCACAGAAAAGAAACUCGUGGACUUGGAGAACAGACUUGUGGUUGCCAAGGGGGAGAGGGAGGGAGUGGGAUGGACUGGGAGUUUGCGUUAAUAGAUCCAAACAAUUGCCUUUGGAAUGGAUGAGCAGUGAGAUCCUGCUGUAUAGCACUGGGAACUAUAUCUAGUCACUUGUGGUGGAACAUGAUGGAGGAUAAUAUGAGAAAAAGAAUGUAUAUAGGUAUGUGUGAUUGGGUCACUUUGCUGUACAGUAGAAAAUGGACAGAACACUGUAAACCGACUAUAAUGGAAAAAAUUUAAAUCGCUUUAAAAAAUAAAUUACAGCCCAUUAACCACUUCCAAAAAAACAAAGGGGGGGGGGAGGGAAAUGCUGUAUUCACAUUUUGGCUACCAAUGUUACUUUUCUUUAAAACUCCUAUAAACAGGACUCAAGCACAGUUAGGUUUUAGAGACCUAGGAUGUCACCGACCAUAUGAAGUCCUUAUCAAUAUUUCUGUCAAAGAAGACACCUGUUUCGAGUAAGUAUUGAAUAACUAUUUAUCAAAUGAUUUUUAAUCAAUACUUCUGUGGUGUAAGAUCCAUUGAUUAACCUGCUGGUCCCUCUUCAUGUUUAAUGUGUUCUUAUUUUAUAAUUAGAACUAAACCUGGUCCCUCCGCAGGACACUAUUUGAUUGGUUGAAGAUGAAGAUGUUGGGGGUGUUUGUUCAUCUACCCAACUCGGGAAAAGCGGUGCUGUUCACUGCCCCUCCGUGACCCCGGGGUGAUGUAGCUCCCUGGUGAUCACCGUCUGCCUUGUCUCCUGUGAGAGCCAGCAGCCAGCUCUGCACACACCAGCUGUGUCCAUUCCUGCAGCUGACUCUGCCGGGGUCCAGCUCCCUCCUGCCCACAGGGGCACGUUCCCUCCAAGAGGCUGGACUUUGCCCCGUUCCCAUGAACCUUUCACAAGGUGCAAAGCCUUUCUUUACGUCUACCUGUGACUUUCCUUCCUGAUUCCUUCCCCAAACGUGCAUGCGUCUUUCUCUAUUUCCAGUCCCUUGGGUUACGAACUCCCGAAGUGAAGAGAAAUAUACUGGAAGAACCAGAGUGUCUAGAGAGAAGGCUUUAGAAAGGACGGGUGGCUUCAGCACCCACCAGGGCAGGACAUCCCAGAUUCCAAGUAUUUUCAAUCUCUCCUCCAGAUAAAAGGAGCAAAUGCCAGCUGAAUGGGUGGCCAACUGCUUCUGUCUGCCAGCAGUCUCGAACUUACUUUGAAUAAGAGUGAUGCACUGAAACCCUUUGAAAUGUAUGACGUGCGCCCUGUUCUUCGUCAUGUUCACCAAAAGUUUAUAAACUUUGUGAUGCUACGUGUUCAAGCCACCCACAUCCUGGACCGAAGGAUUGACUUUGAAUGAAACCAAAACUCCUGUUCAUCGCAAGCCAAAGGUAAAGAUAAUUCUGUUGAGAUUUCUAUGAGCUUCAUUUUUUUCCAUCUCUUUCUCUCCCCCCCCGCCCCGCUCCCCCCCUCCCCACUGGAAUCGUCUCUUCUUUUGUAGCUUUCGCCAGUAUUAAAAUGGUACGACGUGGUUUUCCAGAAACGAUGUUACACGUGACGUUUUUAACUCAAGCCCAACACCCUCAAAGUGGGUGAGGCUUGCUGGGCUCAGUGAUUUUCAACCAACAUGUGAGCGAGAUCAAGGACUGUGUAGACACACACACUGUUUUCGCUAGGCUGGUUUUAAUGACAGAGAUGCUUUUUUAUAGUUUGUUACACAGCUGUUUUUCUUUUUCUAGCUGUGCCUGUGGCAUAUGGAUGUUCCCAGGCCAGGGGUCGAAUCGGAGCUGCAUCUGCAACCUAUGUCGCAGUCACAGCCACAGCAACACCGGAUCCUUAACCCACUGAGCGAGGCCAGGGAUUCAACCCACAUCCUCACGGACACAAUGUUGGGUUGUAAACCUGCUGAGCCACAGUGGGAACUC
This 2339-nucleotide long non-coding RNA is filed under the name Sus scrofa (pig). RNAcentral describes it as "lncRNA (ENSSSCG00000061508.1, ENSSSCG00065013040.1)". The record is from RNAcentral. Lineage: Eukaryota; Metazoa; Chordata; Mammalia; Artiodactyla; Suidae.